AGAGCGAACGCUGGCGGCAUGCUUAACACAUGCAAGUCGCACGAGUACUUUCGGGUAUUAGUGGCGGACGGGUGAGUAUCGCGUAGGGAUUUAUCGUUGGGUGGGGGACAACCUUGGGAAACUGGGGCUAAUACCGCAUGACGCCUGAGGGCCAAAGCACUUGUGGCGCCUGACGAGAAGCCUGCGUCCGAUUAGGUAGUUGGUUGGGUAAUGGCUGACCAAGCCUGCGAUCGGUAGCUGGUCUGAGAGGAUGAUCAGCCACACUGGGACUGAGACACGGCCCCAGACUCCUACGGGAGGCAGCAGUGGGGAAUAUUGGACAAUGGGCGCAAGCCUGAUCCAGCAAUGCCGCGUGGAUGAAGAAGGUCUUCGGAUUGUAAAGUCCUUUCGACGGGGACGAUGAUGACGGUACCCGUAGAAGAAGCCCCGGCUAACUUCGUGCCAGCAGCCGC
Molecule: ribosomal RNA, 452 nt
Filed under: uncultured bacterium
Lineage: Bacteria
Description: SSU rRNA
Rfam family: Bacterial small subunit ribosomal RNA
Source: RNAcentral